GACGAACGCUGGCGGCGUGCUUAACACAUGCAAGUCGAACGGCAAGGCACUGCUUGUGUGGGGUGCUCGAGUGGCGAACGGGUGAGUAACACGUGAGUAACCUGCCCUUGACUUUGGGAUAACUUCAGGAAACUGGGGCUACUACCGGAUAGGAGCUGCUGCUGCAUGGUGGGGGUUGGAACGUUGCGGCGGGUGGGGAUGGACUGGCGGCUGAUCAGCUUGUUGGUGGGGUAGUGGCUUACCAAGGCUUUGACGGGUCGCCGGCCUGGGAGGGUGACCGGCCACAUUGGGACUGAGAGACGGCCCAGACUGCUACGGGAGGCAGCAGUGGGGAAUAUUGCACAAUGGGAGGAAGCCUGAUGCAGCAGCGCCGCGGUUGUGAUGACGGUCUGCGGGUUGUAAACCGCUUUCGCCUGUGACGAAGCUGGAGUGACGGUAAUGGGUAAAGAAGCACCGGCUAACUACGUG
This 468-nucleotide ribosomal RNA is filed under the name uncultured bacterium. Its description in RNAcentral is "partial 16S ribosomal RNA". It matches the Rfam family "Bacterial small subunit ribosomal RNA", at positions 28 to 507 of the family's 1533-position model. The record is from RNAcentral.